UACGGAGGGUGCAAGCGUUAAUCGGAAUUACUGGGCGUAAAGCGCGCGUAGGCGGUUGGGUAAGUCAGAUGUGAAAGCCCCGGGCUCAACCUGGGAACUGCAUUUGAUACUGCCCGACUCGAGUAUGGUAGAGGGGGGUGGAAUUCCCGGAGUAGCGGUGAAAUGCGUAGAUAUCGGGAGGAACACCAGUGGCGAAGGCGGCCCCCUGGACCAAUACUGACGCUGAGGUGCGAAAGCGUGGGGAGCAAACAGG
Molecule: ribosomal RNA, 253 nt
Filed under: uncultured bacterium
Lineage: Bacteria
Description: partial 16S ribosomal RNA
Rfam family: Bacterial small subunit ribosomal RNA
Source: RNAcentral